GUGAAGCUGGAUUCGCUAGUAAUCGCGCAUCAGCCAUGGCGCGGUGAAUACGUUCCCGGGCCUUGUACACACCGCCCGUCAAGCCAUGGAAGCCGGGGGUGCCUGAAGUGUGCAGCCGCAAGGAGCGCCCUAAGGUAAAACCGGUGACUGGGGCUAAGUCGUAACAAGGUAAC
RNAcentral lists this ribosomal RNA (173 nucleotides) under uncultured bacterium. RNAcentral describes it as "partial 16S ribosomal RNA". It matches the Rfam family "Bacterial small subunit ribosomal RNA", at positions 1320 to 1500 of the family's 1533-position model. The record is from RNAcentral.